GUUGCUCUGUUGGGUGCUAUACAGUGAUGUGUAGGUUGCUAUGCUGGGUGCUAUACAGUGAUGUGUAGGUUGCUAUGUUGGGUGCUAUACAGUGAUGUGUAGGUUGCUAUGCUGGGUGCUAUACAGUGAUGUGUAGGUUGCUCUGUUGGGUGCUAUGCAGUGAUGUGUAGGUUGCUCUGUUGGGUGCUAUACAGUGAUGUGUAGGUUGCUAUGCUGGGUGCUAUACAGUGAUGUGUAGGUUGCUAUGUUGGGUGCUAUUCAGUGCUAUGUGGCUAGCCUCUGUGGUACAUACACUUACACCUACCUAGAUUGUUUAUAUGAACAUACCUGGUCACGGUAGACUUCCGUGUGAUAACAAAACAGAACCCAGCCUUAGAAGGCAGUGAGUCUCAUUUGGGUAUCACUGUUUUGCAUGACUCCUUGUAAACGACCAGGGGAGGAAAACCCAAAAGCCUCCUUGGCCUUCCAGUGAACACUGUUUUCAGCUGGCAGUGUUCUAAUGUUUCCUGCUGUGUUAGUACACUUCAAACACACACACACAAAGACACACCUCUGAUUGUUUUUGUCCAUGCCACAAAGACCCAAUACAAUAGGCCUGCUAAUCCGCGAAACACUGUGACACACAACGCGGUGCAUUCAGGCAUGGAAGAAUGUUUCCCCCUUCUAAGACAAGACAAUGAAGGAUUUGUCAAGGUAAAAUUCAGGUUUUGCAAAGCUGCUUUGAUUAGCACAUUAUUAAAGGAACAGUUCACCUGAACACAUUUCUG
Long non-coding RNA from Esox lucius (northern pike), 767 nucleotides. The record is from Ensembl. NCBI's taxonomy places the organism in Eukaryota, Metazoa, Chordata, Actinopteri, Esociformes, Esocidae.